This 4573-nucleotide long non-coding RNA is filed under the name Zostera marina. RNAcentral describes it as "long non-coding RNA (ZMAR_LNC002601)". Lineage: Eukaryota; Viridiplantae; Streptophyta; Magnoliopsida; Alismatales; Zosteraceae. The record is from RNAcentral.
CAAUCUUCCGCGUUCGUAGUUGCGUUGUCGAGAAAAUUCUGGAUUCCGCGUCUGGAUCUGCUUCCACGUCUGCUCUAUCGCGAUUUUGGAUUUCGCGUCUGCGUCCGGUGACGCGAUCUGCAUUUUGGAUUUUGCGUAUCGGUCACGCGUUUGCGUAUUUUGAAUCUGCAGUUGUUCACACAUUUGCAGCUGUUCACGCAUUUACAGUUGUUCACAAUUUUGGAUCUGCAUUUGCGUUCAUAUUGCAGUUGAUUGCUGCAUUUGGGAUUGAUUCCUGCAUUUGGGAUUACUCGUCAUCAUAUUGCGAUCUGCAGAUUUCCGAGUUCUUGCAAUCUGCGUCGUCUUGAUUUCUCGCCGAUCAUUCAAAUCUGUAAGUUUUUUUUCUUUUUUUUCUUGAAAUUAAAUCUGUGAUUGCUUGUGUGAUUUCUCGCCGCAUGUGGACUUGCUUUGUGUGAUUAGUUUUGUCAAGUUUAAUAAUAAUACUCUUUUUCAUUUUCAAGAUAGAACUUUUGAAAUGAUUUUGGUUUAAUUAUUUUCUUUUCAUACAAGUUUGUUUUCUGGCUUGUUGGAGGUAUUACUUAUUUUUCUAAAACAUUAUUCUCAAUGUUUUGGUUUGAAGUGAAUUUUGUCUAUCUUGAGUUAAUUCUCUAUUGAUUAAUAUCCUCCCCUGGGUCAGUAUCUUGUCUGUCCAGAAUAUAUAUCCUGUCCAAAAUCAGCUUGCUAGUUUUGGUUGAUGAUAUUCAGUUGUGUAUCUGAAUAUAACUGUUGUUCAUUUACUUCAUUAUCAUAUAUUUGUGUUCUAUUUUUAUGCUUGUAUAAGGAAUUGCUUUCAUCAGUCUGAGUAUUCUCAGCUCUCACAGAUGUUUCCUGAUUUUGAUCUGCGUUGUCCUUAUUUGAGAAAGAUCUUCCAUCAGACUGAACAUCCUCAGCUAUCUCUAAUGGAUGAUUCCUAGAUGGACCUGAUUUGUCUUGUUUAGAAAUAAAUAACUGAACUUUUAUGUUUUGAUUAUAUUCUGAUUUUUCUCCAGUUUGUACUGAAUUGUUUUUAUUUUUUGAACUGGAAUUGUUAUUCUCAGUCUGAAUAUGCAUAUAUAUAAUCUCCCAUUGUAUUGAUCAGGUAUGAUUGAUCUUCUAAGAUCAGAAUCUGAAUUUGUUAAUUUUCCAAAAUUUUGGAAGGUUUUGCUUUUGAGAGACCACACUUCUCUAGGAUACCUAAGGCAUACUUCCUUUGUGAGAGAUAUAUUCCUUUGUUGGAAUAUGAAACUUCAAUACCUAAGAAGUAAUUUAAUCUCCCUAAAUCUUUUAGUUUGAAUUGAUUUUCUAAUUGGAUUUUAAUUAUUCCAAUUUCUAAUUCAUUACUUUCUAUAAUUAUUAUAUCAUCUAUAUAAACUAUGAGAUAUAAACUAUGAAGCUUGAGUGAAGCCAAUCUCUAAGAUUACUCCUCUUAGUUUCUCAAACCAGUUCCUUGAGGCUUGUUUUAAGCCAUAUAAGGAUUUAUUGAGUUUACAUACUCUUUUAUCUCCUUUUUUUAGAAGGCCUCGUGAUGGUUAAUUUUAAGUAUACUUCUUCAUGCAAUUCUUCAUGAAGAAAAACAUUAUUAACAUCUAAUUGGUAUAAAUUCUAUCCUUUCAUGGAUGUUAUGGCUAUGAUAUUUUUUAUAGUUACCAUCUUGACCACUGGUGCAAAGGUUUUAAAAAAAUCAAAACUUUUUUUUUGUGUGAAUCCUUUAGCCACUAGCCUUGUUUUAUGCCUUUCUAUUUGACCAUUUGGCUUAUACUUAAUUUUAUAUAUCAAUUUAGAUCCUAUAGACUUCCUAUCGAUCUUUUGGAAGAUUAACCAAUGUCCAUGUAUUGUUUUCUAAAAGAGCAUUCAUCUCUUUUUGCAUUGCUUCAACCCAAUUUGGGUCUUUUGAAACUAUGAGAAGGAUAAAGAAUUAAGAAUUAGUUUAAACUGUUGUUAGUUGAGUUAGUUAGUUAACUGAUUAUUAGUAUUGGGUUGUAGUAUAUAAGUAGAGGAUAUUAUUGAUAAUUGAUUGAAGGAUGUUGGAUCAUCAUGAAUAGUUAUUUGUUUUAGGUAAUGUUUUUGUUGUUUAUUUAUCUUAUGAUAGGAUAUAUGAUUACUCAUGGGAUAUUUUGACUCAUGAUAAUCCUUGAUAUGCUUCUUACCAGAGGAAGGGAGACUAGAGCUUCUCGGAUCUCUUACAAUUGAAAUGAAUUAUAAUACUUAAGAUUGAUUUUCUUUAUUCUAUACUAACAUGACUUAAUAUAGCCUUACAAAUACUAACAAAUCUGAAAACAAAUCAUAAAUUGCUAAAUCAACAUGCAUGGAAAGAAAUAAUAAACGUGGAUGUAAAUCAGAAAAUAAAUAAUUUAAUGUUAAAUACAAUAUUAAAUGCAAUGUAGAGGAUCGAACGUAUCAAUCCCCUCUCCCUCGGAAGACAGUCCGUCCUCGGAUUUCUAAGAACUCCACGAUGUUUACUCCGACCGCGUUCAAACUCCACCUCCUGAUCAGGGUGUUUACUACACACUCUACAUCAGCCACCGGUUGUUUGCCUUUGACCUGCAAAAGGAGUUCUUGGAGAGAUGCUUGGAGCUUUGCCGUCUCUUCGCGGGAAGCAGCGAUCUCAAUCGCCUGGAGUUGGAAUGAUUCGUCGACGUUCUUCUUAAAGUCGUCAAUGUUGUUCAUACCAGCACGAGAGCUACCUCGUCCUACCAUAGAGAGAGAGAGAACGGUGAUUCCCUUUGAUACGCUUCGUACCAGGGGAGGGGAGACCAGAGCUUCUCAGAUCUAUCUCAUUGAAAGCACCAAUUGAUACGCUUCGUACCAGGGAAAGGGAGACCAGAGCUUCUCGGAUCUCUUACAAUUGAAAGAAAUUAUAAUACUCAAGAUUGAUUUCCUUUAUUCCAUACUAACAUGGCUUAAUAUAGCCUUAUAAAAACUAACAAAUCUGGAAACAAAUCAUAAAUUGCUAAAUCAACAUGCAUGGAAAGAAAUAAUAAACGUGGAUGAAAAUCAGGAAAUAAAUAAUUUAAUGUUAAAUACAAUAUUAAAUGCAAUGUAGAGGAUCAAACAUAUCAAUCCUUGUCAUUCUCAAGAUAAUAUUCUUGAAGUUGUGUAAGUUUCACUAAUUUCCUCCCAUGUAAGCUUGUUUUUUGUUUAUUUGGAGGUACUGAAAUCUGUUUUUCUAGAACCCUCUGGUUACUGUCUAUUCUAGUAUCUGAAUUAUUUUCUAUUUGAUAGUUAUCUAAUUGAUUUUGAUCAGUUUCAGCAUACUUAUUUGGCUAUCUGAACCAACUUGUUGCUGAUUUGUUCUUGAUUCUGUUUGUAUAUUAUUUGUGUUUUGAGAACUGUUGUUAUUAUCUUCAUUUGUUAUUAUAUUUUGGUGUUUUUCAUUACAAAACUCCAAUGAAUUUUGUGUGUUUGAACAAGAUUUAUGCUGAUUAUUUUCAACCAUAUCUGAAUACUCUUGACACAUUGUGUUUACUAUAUUUUGUUGUUUUUCAGCAUAAAAAUCCACUGAAUUUUGUGUGUUUGAAUAGGAUUUGUGCUGAUUAUUUUCAGCCAUAUCUGAGUACUCUUGACUCAUUGUGUUUUGGGUAUUUAACUGAAAAUUUUCAUCAAUUUGAGCAUCUUUGGAUGCUUGUGGUGUUUACUCAUUUGUUUGACCUGUUUUGUGUUUUUCAACACUGUCUAAACCUCUGUAAUUUCUUUUAUUACAGUGUUCAGACCCAACAGGUUGCCCUGGGUCACUUAUAUUUUCAUAUAUAGGAUUUUCUUCAAUGCCUGUCUGCAUUCUACUUUUAUUCAGAUCAGGUAUGAUUGAUCUUAUCUCAUUAGAAUUUAAUAUAUUGUUUUCUUUAGAUAUAAAAGUUUCUAAUUUUUUAUUUUUUGUAGAAUUAUUUUCAGACCCUGAAGUGUCUUUGUUUUCUUUAAUUUUAUAAUCAUACAAUCUAAUUAUAGAAUUCUUGAAGUGACUUUGAGUUUUGGUUUUGAGGGUUUUUAUCCUCAAUUUUAUUAUUUUUAAAUGGGAAAAUAUUUUCCCUAAAAACUACAUUCCUGGAAAUAUGAAAUUUUUUACUUUCCAAGUCUAAUACCAAAUAUCCUUUUGUAUUAGAUGGAUAUCCCAUAAAAACUCUUCUAAAAGUUCUUGGUGAAAACUUAUAUUCUCUAAUAUUGGUUGAUGCAUAACACAAGCAACCAAAAGUCUUAAGGUUGUCAUAAUUUGGUGUUUGAUUGUUUAAAACUUCAUAUGGUGUUUUAUUUUCUAACACCUUUGAGAGAGUUCUAUUAAUUAUAUGAGUUACUGUCAAGAUACAUUCCUCCUAGUAAAUUAAUGGGAUUCCACCUUGAAUAUUAAUGCAGAGAUCUAGCUAUUUCAAGUAUGUGUAUAUGCUUUCUCUCUAUUAUACCAUUUUGUUGUGGUAUAUAUAGUGGUGUAUCCAGGAUUCCUUGACAGGGAGGGAGCCAAGAUUCGUCGAAGGCGGAAAAAAUUUUUUGUACUAAUUAAAGAACCUAUACAAAUUUUGGCAUGACCUAUUCAUAUAAUUGAUUAUAAAAACCUACAAAAAAUCAA